UACGGAGGGUGCGAGCGUUGUCCGGAAUCAUUGGGCGUAAAGGGCGCGUAGGUGGCCCCUCAAGCGUGCGGUGAAAGUCAGGGGCUCAACCCCUGAUCGGCCGUGCGAACUGGGGAGCUUGAGCACUGUAGAGGCAGGCGGAAUUCCGGGUGUAGCGGUGGAAUGCGUAGAGAUCCGGAAGAACACCGGUGGCGAAGGCGGCGACCUGGUCCUUUACUGACGCUGAGGCGCGAAAGCGUGGGGAGCAAACAGG
This 253-nucleotide ribosomal RNA is filed under the name uncultured bacterium. RNAcentral describes it as "partial 16S ribosomal RNA". It matches the Rfam family "Bacterial small subunit ribosomal RNA", at positions 524 to 776 of the family's 1533-position model. The record is from RNAcentral.